This 723-nucleotide long non-coding RNA is filed under the name Homo sapiens (human). Its description in RNAcentral is "HSALNT0408280". Lineage: Eukaryota; Metazoa; Chordata; Mammalia; Primates; Hominidae. The record is from RNAcentral.
GGUCUGGAUACUACUUGCAUCUCACCCCUGGUGAGGGUUCCCCUAAGCUGGCCGGGCCUCCAAGAGGGCCUUCUGCCCAGCACGUAGCCCACCACUCCUCCCACACACGUGAGCCAGCCAUACCCUGGCAGGCCCUGCCACCUUCUCUGAACUGAUUCAGCCUGGUAAGGCCUCCAAGAGCGCUGGGAACAACAGACGCGCAGACCUGCGGACAGACAGGAGACAGGGUAAACACCGAUGACUCCCAGAUCUACAGCUCCAGGCUGUUCCCUUCUCCGUGUCUCAUAUCAGCUUUGCCAACUGUUUAUUGGACAUCACCGCCUGAGUAUCCCUGAGGGACACGAUUAUCCUGUUUGGAGUGUAUUGAACUUCUUGGAUACAUCGAUUAGUGUCUUUCCUCAAGUUUGAGUAAUUUGCAGUCAUUUUUCCUUUGAAAAUUCUUUCUUCUCUAUUCUGUUUCUCUCCUUGUUGAACCCCCAUCAUGCAUAGGUGUGCUCUGUUCAUUUUUCACAUUACUUUUAUUUUUCUGCUCCUCGGACUGAAUAAUCUCAAUUGACCUAUUUUAAGUUCACUGAUUCUUUUGCCUGCCCAAACCUACUGUUGUACCCCUCUAGUGACUUUUAGUUAUUGUACUUUUCAAAUAAAGAAUUUCUAUUUAUUUUAUAAUUUCUACAUCUCUUUGUAUUUUUACAUCUUUACUGAUAUUGUGUAUUUGCUGAGACA